CACGGGGGGAGCAAGCGUUGUUCGGAAUCACUGGGCGUAAAGGGCGUGUAGGCGGUUCGGUAAGUGAGAUGUGAAAUCCUCCGGCUCACCCGGAGACCUGCAUCUCAAACUGCCGGACUAGAGUAUGGGAGAGGACAAGGGAAUUCCUGGUGUAGCGGUGAAAUGCGUAGAUAUCAGGAGGAACACCUGCGGUGUAGACGGCUUUCUGGACCAUUACUGACACUGAGACACGAAAGCGUGGGUAGCAAACAGG
Molecule: ribosomal RNA, 253 nt
Filed under: uncultured bacterium
Lineage: Bacteria
Description: partial 16S ribosomal RNA
Rfam family: Bacterial small subunit ribosomal RNA
Source: RNAcentral